Molecule: long non-coding RNA, 431 nt
Filed under: Carica papaya (papaya)
Lineage: Eukaryota; Viridiplantae; Streptophyta; Magnoliopsida; Brassicales; Caricaceae
Description: long non-coding RNA (CPAP_LNC005295)
Source: RNAcentral
AGACCUAUUUAUUGAAAUUUAAAACCGUUGCAUUCGUGCCAAGUGAAAAACUCUUGUGGAGAGACAGAAAAAAGAUGCUCUGCAUAAAAAAGAGAAAGGAAGGCCUCCUCCGCCGGUGAUGGUGGUGCAUCAACUGGGCCAACAGUGGCGCACAGCCUGAGGUGGUAGUGGCUCGCCUGGUGCGCUGAAAGCUAGCCUGCAGGUGCACAAGUCCCAGGUACACAGGGGCCUAUCCGCGUAGGCCUACUAUGCAGACAGCGCAUGCACAGUUUGUAGUGCCUUUCUAUGCGCGACAGGAUGCUCACAGGUUUUAAUCAGGCACUAUGCACGUGGAUGGGAUGAGCACGUUGUGCGUAGGUCCCGUAUCUACUAUGUUGUGAGGACGUCCUACAUCUGUUGUGUGAUACCAUCUCAUCAGAGGACACGACGUC